CUCGCUCGCUCGCUCGCAAGUAGAUAUCCUGAUCUCUCUUCCGUCCGCCUGAAACACCAUUUAUUGGCCUCUGCACACCUCACCGCAACCGCCACCACCGCCUGUUGGUGAAGCCCAUCGCCUUCCUUGAGCACCAUACAUCCGGCUCUACGCACCUCGCCGCCACUGCCGCUGUCAUCGAUUGGUGAAGCCCGGGAAGCCUCUCCAUGGAGGAAUACUGGCCAUCGGAUCUGCUCCAUGCGCCGGGUCCUUCGAGAGGCGUCGAGUCCCCCGCUCGCCCCCUCCUCCCGCUCCUCCACCACGGCCUUGCCCGCUCCACCAUCCAUCAGUCUCUCACCUCCAUCCCCGUCCAUCCCGACGGGAUCCCAUCCACCUCCUUCCUGUGGCUGCCCCACUCUCCGCCGCCACUGCUGGCCCCUGAUCCCGUCGGGCGUUGGACGGCAUCCUGGUCGCCCACGGUGCCGGUGCUCUCAUGUCCUCGCUCGACACGGAGCACAUGGCACUAAGCACCCGCGACAACGGACACCGGGUUGUUUUGUUAACCAUCUUCGACAAGACUCCCAUCUCUAGGGUCACGCAUCUGCCCCUGACUCUCAGCUCUGAUGUCGGGUUGUCGAGCUGCAGCCUCCCCGGCCUUCCCACGAGCUCAUCGAGCACGUGCAGAGGAGCAACAGAGUGCCACUGAGUAUAUCUAAUGGUAUAGUCGAGUUGUCCAUCGUCAGGAGGCUUCACACCAUAUCCGAUCUCCUCUCACACACAGAUGCUCCGUCCAUCCUUGCAACGGGAUGUUAUCCCAAGCGCACGGCGCAGCUACCCCCUAUGGUAGCCGUCUCCAAGCUAGAGCCCUUUGUCAGGCUUCCAUUUGACAGAAGACAUCGUAUAGCCUUCACCAAAAGAGUAGCCUCGGAUUGGAGCUCUCCAUUAUGCCCGACUGCCUGCUGCACCUCCUGCUUUGUGCUACCUAUUAGUAGGUUUGUUAUUAUCUUCCAUUCAGUUAAAUGCUUGAUGAUAUCCAGAUAAAAUGGGGUGUGCUUCUUUGAGAUGUUUGAUGUAGGCAAAAUCAGCAAGCUGCCUUUCCCAAGAAUCAAACAGAUGUCUCAACUAUGACCGAGCCAAGAUAUGAAUCAGAAUCAUUCCAAAGCAUUAAUUUAUAGUCAACAUGGAGACAAACUAAAAUAUGGAUCAACUCUAUUUCUGUUUACAUCAUCACUAAAUUUUCGUCUGUCUCAAUUUUCUUCUUCGUUUAUGUUGUGUUUUUCAUAGCAUGGACACCUGAUCAAUCCUACAAACAUAUCGUUCCAACUCGGAUUGCAUUCACGACUUUGGUUUUUGUUCAAAAGCCUACAAUUAUCUUGGAUUAUAUGUAUACAGAGAUAUUCAGUUCAGACUUGCAGGUGUGCAAUCCACAGACUAUUGUCUGGACUAAUCUACAAUGUUAUUUCCGUCUCGGUGAUCUUAGCAUAAAUCUAUUGGUACAUUAAGAGAUUGUGUGCAAAGGGUACAUUACAGUAUUUAUUUGGGAUGUAUGAUUCUUCAGAAAUUGUAGGACAUUACAUUACGGUAUUUAGAAUUCCUGUAAUUCCUACGAUCUCCAAUAUUAUGAGAACUGUACUUAGAA
This is a long non-coding RNA of Phragmites australis (common reed), 1618 nucleotides long. RefSeq lists it as uncharacterized. Lineage: Eukaryota; Viridiplantae; Streptophyta; Magnoliopsida; Poales; Poaceae. The transcript is spliced from 3 exons. The record is from RefSeq and is a predicted model, not a curated record.